Small nuclear RNA from Sorex fumeus (smoky shrew), 105 nucleotides. The record is from RefSeq and is a predicted model, not a curated record. NCBI's taxonomy places the organism in Eukaryota, Metazoa, Chordata, Mammalia, Eulipotyphla, Soricidae.
GUGCUCAUUUUGGCAACACAAACUAAAAUUGGAACAAAACAGAGAUUAGCAUGGCUCCCCCUACACAAGCAUGACAUACAAAUUCAUGAUGCAUUCCAAUUUUUU